Lemur catta (Ring-tailed lemur) is the source of this 425-nucleotide long non-coding RNA. RefSeq lists it as uncharacterized. The transcript is spliced from 3 exons. The record is from RefSeq and is a predicted model, not a curated record. Lineage: Eukaryota; Metazoa; Chordata; Mammalia; Primates; Lemuridae.
AAUAGCUAGUAGCUUAUAUAACCAUAGCCCAGUACACAAAGGAUGAGAAAUCUGCUCACUCAUUCAGGUGCCUCAGAAAACAAAUCUUGGGAGGGCUAAAACACAACUGUGAGCUGCUACUAGACUGAUGUGAUGGAUUCACCUUCUGUCCAAUAUUAUUAAAUAUGACUGAUUUCAAGCAUUUCUUCUCUCCUGGGAGUUCAACAGCCAAAUUACUUGUUACCCAAGCUACAGUAACCAUCCAAUGUGGACAUGAUUCUAGCCUCUUCUCCACUAUGUAAUGAAUGAAAAACUUGACAACAUUUGAGCCAUGAGGCAGAAAAUACAAGAGUUCUCCUUCCUCUGGGACAAGGUAAAUCGAUAUCCUCUGCAAAAAUUGGAUUAGACAAUUCCUGUGUUGACUGUGGAUGAAAACCUGGAAGGUA